GAUGAACGCUAGCGGCAGGCUUAAUACAUGCAAGUCGAGGGGCAGCACGGUUAGCAAUAACUGGUGGCGACCGGCGCACGGGUGCGUAACACGUAUACAAUCUACCUUAAACAGGGGGAUAGCCUUUCGAAAGAGAGAUUAAUACCCCGUAAUAAAUUGAACGGCAUCGUUUGAUUUUGAAAGCUCCGGCGGUUUGAGAUGAGUAUGCGUCUGAUUAGCUAGUUGGUGAGGUAACGGCUCACCAAGGCGACGAUCAGUAGGGGAUCUGAGAGGACUAACCCCCACACUGGUACUGAGACACGGACCAGACUCCUACGGGAGGCAGCAGUAAGGAAUAUUGGUCAAUGGAGGCAACUCUGAACCAGCCAUGCCGCGUGCAGGAUGACGGCCCUAUGGGUUGUAAACUGCUUUUAUACAAGAGAAAACCCUGGUACGUGUACCAGGUUGAUAGUAUUGUAAGAUAAGCAUCGGCUAACUUCGUGCCAGCAGCCGCGGUAAU
This 499-nucleotide ribosomal RNA is filed under the name uncultured bacterium. RNAcentral describes it as "bacterial SSU rRNA". It matches the Rfam family "Bacterial small subunit ribosomal RNA", at positions 28 to 524 of the family's 1533-position model. The record is from RNAcentral.